Molecule: long non-coding RNA, 879 nt
Organism: Strigops habroptila (Kakapo)
Lineage: Eukaryota; Metazoa; Chordata; Aves; Psittaciformes; Psittacidae
Exons: 2
Source: RefSeq, a predicted model, not a curated record
GAUCUGCAGAGAUGGAGUAAUGGGAGAGAACGUCUGUCAGUGGACAAAGCACGGUUCUGGAUAAGGGGAUUAAUGGGACCUUUCACGUGAGAGAUGCAGACAGGAGGUUUGUCCUUCCUUCUGCAUGGCUGCUGACAGGAGCAACAUGUAAGAGCCGGCCUCUGGCCAAGCAUGUGGGGACAAGCAGAAACCACUGUACAAUGUUUUCCCUCAUCUGUUGUGUACAAAAAGGUAAGGAAAAGCACAUCUUCGACUCCACUCUCACAGAAACAACUUUCCCUCACACUGUCAGCAUUCAAAUCCCCAGCACAAAGGCAACACUUACUAGGAGGUUGAUCAAGUUUUACUAUUGAUGCUUGUAGUGCAUAAAGUGCUUGUAGUUCCUUCUCUGUGUCUGAGUCUAGGUACUUGAUUAAGAUCGGCACUCUCUGUUUGAUAACAGCAGUGUCCACACGGAAGCUAGAAGAUUCCGCUGAGGAGAAGAGAGGAAAACAGGGUCAGCUCUGGCAGACAGCACCAAGGGCAGGUCUUUUACUGAUUCAAACAGAAAUCACAGAUACAGGUUAGUGUGGGGACAAAAAGGAAGAUGAGGAACAUCAGAAGUAUUUCUUUGGCUUUUCCUGGAAGUCUUGGUUCUUCCAGUUCCCCAAAUUCAACCAGUAUCUGCAGCGACCCAGCCCUACCAGCCUGCUGCCACACGCAGAGGGAUUCCAGCCUUACUUUGCAGCACAAAUCGUUGUGUUUCCUCAGGCAACUGGGUGUCCAAAGUGUGGGGCUAAAAUUUCAGUUAUACAGAAGGUUUGAGAAGAUUAUAUCUUAAAAUACCAAUGCAGAAACACAACUAUAAGCUGCAUGUGACAUAAGAAAUCAGGAAUACAU